This 451-nucleotide ribosomal RNA is filed under the name uncultured bacterium. Its description in RNAcentral is "bacterial SSU rRNA". It matches the Rfam family "Bacterial small subunit ribosomal RNA", at positions 328 to 793 of the family's 1533-position model. The record is from RNAcentral.
CUCUGUGACUUCUACGGGAGGCAGCAGUGGGGAAUAUUGGACAAUGGACCAAAAGUCUGAUCCAGCAAUUCUGUGUGUUUGAUGAAGGCCUUCGGGUUGUAAAGAACUUUCAGUGGGGAAGAAGCAAGUGACGGUACCCACAGAAGAAGCGACGGCUAAAUACGUGCCAGCAGCCGCGGUAAUACGUAUGUCGCAAGCGUUAUCCGGAAUUAUUGGGCAUAAAGGGCGUCUAGGCGGUCUAAUAAGUCUGAUGUGAAAAUGCGGGGCUCAACUCCGUAUUGCGUUGGAAACUGUUAGACUAGAGUUUUGGAGAGGUAGGCGGAACUACAAGUGUAGAGGUGAAAUUCGUAGAGAUUUGUAGGAAUGCCGAUGACGAAGGUAGCUUACUGGACAAAUACUGACGCUGAAGCGCGAAAGCUAGGGGAGCAAACAGGAUUAGAUACCCUGGUAG